CCGGGAUUAACCACAAAUCCGCGU
RNAcentral lists this non-coding RNA (24 nucleotides) under Arabidopsis thaliana (thale cress). The record is from RNAcentral. Lineage: Eukaryota; Viridiplantae; Streptophyta; Magnoliopsida; Brassicales; Brassicaceae.